RNAcentral lists this ribosomal RNA (382 nucleotides) under Gordonia malaquae. RNAcentral's name for it is "bacterial SSU rRNA". It matches the Rfam family "Bacterial small subunit ribosomal RNA", at positions 70 to 453 of the family's 1533-position model. The record is from RNAcentral. Lineage: Bacteria; Bacillati; Actinomycetota; Actinomycetes; Mycobacteriales; Gordoniaceae.
AAAGGCCCCUUCGGGGGUACUCGAGUGGCGAACGGGUGAGUAACACGUGGGUGAUCUGCCCCAAACUCUGGGAUAAGCCUGGGAAACUGGGUCUAAUACUGGAUAUGACCUUUUGCUUCAUGGUGGUUGGUGGAAAGCUUUUGCGGUUUGGGAUGGGCCCGCGGCCUAUCAGCUUGUUGGUGGGGUAAUGGCCUACCAAGGCGACGACGGGUAGCCGACCUGAGANUGUGAUCGGCCACACUGGGACUGAGACACGGCCCAGACUCCUACGGGAGGCAGCAGUGGGGAAUNUUUGCACAAUGGGCGCAAGCCUGAUGCAGCGACGCCGCGUGAGGGAUGACGGCCUUCGGGUUGUAAACCUCUUUCGGCAGGGACGAAGCGC